This 253-nucleotide ribosomal RNA is filed under the name uncultured bacterium. RNAcentral describes it as "partial 16S ribosomal RNA". It matches the Rfam family "Bacterial small subunit ribosomal RNA", at positions 524 to 776 of the family's 1533-position model. The record is from RNAcentral.
UACAGAGGGUGCAAGCGUUAAUCGGAAUUACUGGGCGUAAAGCGCGUGUAGGUGGCUUGUUAAGUCGAGUGUGAAAUCCCUGGGCUCAACCGAGGAAGUGCAUUCGAAACUAGCUCGCUCGAGGAUGGCAGAGGAAGGUGGAAUUCCAAGUGUAGAGGUGAAAUUCGUAGAUAUUUGGAGGAAUACCGGCGGCGAAGGCGGCCUUCUGGACCAUUCCUGACACUGAGACGCGAAAGCGUGGGGAGCAAACAGG